CCUACGGGAGGCAGCAGUGGGGAAUAUUGGACAAUGGGCGAAAGCCUGAUCCAGCCAUGCCGCGUGUGUGAAGAAGGCCUUCGGGUUGUAAAGCACUUUCAGUGGGGAAGAAAGCCUUGGGGCUAAUACCCUCGAGGAAGGACAUCACCCACAGAAGAAGCACCGGCUAACUCCGUGCCAGCAGCCGCGGUAAUACGGAGGGUGCGAGCGUUAAUCGGAAUUACUGGGCGUAAAGCGCGCGUAGGCGGUCUGAUAAGCCGGUUGUGAAAGCCCCGGGCUCAACCUGGGAACGGCAUCCGGAACUGGCAGGCUAGAGUGCAGGAGAGGAAGGUAGAAUUCCCGGUGUAGCGGUGAAAUGCGUAGAGAUCGGGAGGAAUACCAGUGGCGAAGGCGGCCUUCUGGACUGACACUGACGCUGAGGUGCGAAAGCGUGGGUAGCAAACAGGAUUAGAUACCCGUGUAGUC
RNAcentral lists this ribosomal RNA (465 nucleotides) under Vreelandella stevensii. RNAcentral describes it as "partial 16S ribosomal RNA". It matches the Rfam family "Bacterial small subunit ribosomal RNA", at positions 338 to 795 of the family's 1533-position model. Lineage: Bacteria; Pseudomonadati; Pseudomonadota; Gammaproteobacteria; Oceanospirillales; Halomonadaceae. The record is from RNAcentral.